RNAcentral lists this ribosomal RNA (376 nucleotides) under uncultured bacterium. RNAcentral describes it as "bacterial SSU rRNA". It matches the Rfam family "Bacterial small subunit ribosomal RNA", at positions 524 to 898 of the family's 1533-position model. The record is from RNAcentral.
UACGUGUGGUCCGAGCGUUGUCCGGAAUGACUGGGCGUAAAGGGUGCGUAGGUGGGCACAUAAGUCAGGUGUGAAAUCCCCGGGCUCAACCUGGGAAGUGCGCUUGAAACUAUGUGUCUCGAGGCUGUCAGGGGUAAGCGGAAUUCCCGGAGUAGCGGUGAAAUGCGUAGAUAUCGGGAAGAACACCGGUGGCGAAGGCGGCUUACUGGGACAGAACUGACACUGAGGCACGAAGGCGUGGGGAGCAAACAGGAUUAGAUACCCUGGUAGUCCACGCGGUAAACGAUGGAUACUGGAUGUCGGUCAUAUUUACAUGGUCGGUGUCGCAGCUAACGCGCUAAGUAUCCCGCCUGGGGAGUACGGUCGCAAGAUUAAA